This 500-nucleotide ribosomal RNA is filed under the name uncultured bacterium. RNAcentral describes it as "partial 16S ribosomal RNA". It matches the Rfam family "Bacterial small subunit ribosomal RNA", at positions 30 to 523 of the family's 1533-position model. The record is from RNAcentral.
AUUGAACGCUGGCGGCAUGCCUUACACAUGCAAGUCGAACGGUAACGGGUCCUUCGGGAUGCCGACGAGUGGCGAACGGGUGAGUAAUAUAUCGGAACGUGCCCAGUAGUGGGGGAUAACUGCUCGAAAGAGCAGCUAAUACCGCAUACGACCUGAGGGUGGAAGGGGGGGAUUGCAAGACCUCUCGCUAUUGGAGCGGCCGAUAUCAGAUUAGCUAGUUGGUGGGGUAAAGGCCUACCAAGGCAACGAUCAGUAGUUGGUCUGAGAGGACGACCAGCCACACUGGGACUGAGACACGGCCCAGACUCCUACGGGAGGCAGCAGUGGGGAAUUUUGGACAAUGGGCGCAAGCCUGAUCCAGCAAUGCCGCGUGCAGGAAGAAGGCCUUCGGGUUGUAAACUGCUUUUGUCAGGGAAGAAAUCUUCUGGGCUAAUACCCCGGGAGGAUGACGGUACCUGAAGAAUAAGCACCGGCUAACUACGUGCCAGCCGCCGCUGUAA